GGAGGAAAAGAAACCAACCGGGAUUGCCUUAGUAACGGCGAGUGAAGCGGCAAAAGCUCAAAUUUGAAAUCUGGCACCUUCGGUGUCCGAGUUGUAAUUUGAAGAAGUAACUUUGGGGCUGGUCCUUGUCUAUGUUCCUUGGAACAGGACGUCAUAGAGGGUGAGAAUCCCGUGUGGCGAGGAUCCCAGUUCUUUGUAAAGUGCUUUCGACGAGUCGAGUUGUUUGGGAAUGCAGCUCUAAGUGGGUGGUAAAUUCCAUCUAAAGCUAAAUAUUGGCGAGAGACCGAUAGCGAACAAGUACAGUGAUGGAAAGAUGAAAAGAACUUUGAAAAGAGAGUGAAAAAGUACGUGAAAUUGUUGAAAGGGAAGGGCAUUUGAUCAGACAUGGUGUUUUGCGACCCUCGCUCCUUGUGGGUGGGGAUCUCGCAGCUCACUGGGCCAACAUCGGUUUUGGCGGCAGGAUAAAACUUUGGGAAUGUAACUUGUCUUCGGAGAAGUAUUAUAGCCCAAGGCAAUACUGCCAGCCGGGACCGAGGACUGCGACUUUUGUCAAGGAUGUUGGCAUAAUGGUUAUAUGCCGCCCGUC
RNAcentral lists this ribosomal RNA (586 nucleotides) under Saccharomyces sp. 18-C2-P8C9. RNAcentral's name for it is "eukaryotic LSU rRNA". It matches the Rfam family "Eukaryotic large subunit ribosomal RNA", at positions 52 to 653 of the family's 3401-position model. The record is from RNAcentral. Lineage: Eukaryota; Fungi; Ascomycota; Saccharomycetes; Saccharomycetales; Saccharomycetaceae.